This 340-nucleotide ribosomal RNA is filed under the name uncultured Flavobacteriaceae bacterium. Its description in RNAcentral is "bacterial LSU rRNA". It matches the Rfam family "Bacterial large subunit ribosomal RNA", at positions 1 to 356 of the family's 2925-position model. Lineage: Bacteria; Pseudomonadati; Bacteroidota; Flavobacteriia; Flavobacteriales; Flavobacteriaceae. The record is from RNAcentral.
AAUAGGCUAAUUAAGAGCGUAAGGGGAAUGCCUUGGCUCUCAGAGGCGAUGAAGGACGUGAUAAGCUGCGAUAAGCUGUGGGGAGUGGCACAAACACUUUGAUCCGCAGAUUUCCGAAUGGGGUAACCCGGCAUAUUGAAGAUAUGUCACACUGUAAAGUGAGCGAACCUGGUGAACUGAAACAUCUAAGUAACCAGAGGAAUAGAAAACAAAAGUGAUUCCGCUAGUAGUGGCGAGCGAACGUGGAACAGCCUAAACCUAUGUUGUUAAAGCAAUAUAGGGGUUGUAGGACCUCAACAUUUAAUGCUAAUAGAACUAGAAUUUACUGGAAAGUAAAACC